AUCAACGCUGGCGGCGUGCCUCAGACAUGCAAGUCGAACGAUUAAAGCUCCCUUCGGGGAGUGCAUAAAGUGGCGCACGGGUGAGUAACACGUAAGUAAUCUACCUUCGAGUGGGGAAUAACAGUCGGAAACGACUGCUAAUACCGCAUAAUGCAGCGGCAUCGCAAGAUGACAGUUGUUAAAGCAUUUAUGCGCUUGAAGAUGAGCUUGCGGCAGAUUAGGUAGUUGGUAAGGUAACGGCUUACCAAGCCUGCGAUCUGUAUCCGACCCUGAGAGGGUGGUCGGACACACUGACACUAGAA
Molecule: ribosomal RNA, 302 nt
Filed under: uncultured bacterium
Lineage: Bacteria
Description: bacterial SSU rRNA
Rfam family: Bacterial small subunit ribosomal RNA
Source: RNAcentral